RNAcentral lists this ribosomal RNA (328 nucleotides) under uncultured eukaryote. RNAcentral describes it as "partial 18S ribosomal RNA". It matches the Rfam family "Eukaryotic small subunit ribosomal RNA", at positions 1470 to 1796 of the family's 1831-position model. The record is from RNAcentral.
CCCUUAGAUGUUCUGGGCCGCACGCGCGCUACACUGACGAAUGCAACGAGCUUUAUAACCUUGGCCGAAAGGUCUGGGUAAUCUCCAAAUUUCGUCGUGAUGGGGAUAGAUUAUUGCAAUUAUUAAUCUUCAACGAGGAAUGCCUAGUAAGCGCAAGUCAUCAGCUUGCGUUGAUUACGUCCCUGCCCUUUGUACACACCGCCCGUCGCUCCUACCGAUUGAAUGGUCCGGUGAAGCGUUCGGACCGUGGCCUUUGGACGGUUCGCCGUCUGUUGGCUGCGGGAAGUUCGUUAAACCUUAUCAUUUAGAGGAAGGAGAAGUCGUAACA